Physella acuta is the source of this 429-nucleotide long non-coding RNA. RefSeq lists it as uncharacterized. Lineage: Eukaryota; Metazoa; Mollusca; Gastropoda; Physidae. The record is from RefSeq and is a predicted model, not a curated record.
ACUAAAAAUGCUCCAAGUUUUAACAAAAUUUGUGGUAGUGGAGUCUCAGGACUGAUUGUAUCGACAACAAACAAACUUUUUGUCACCUUUAAAACAGAUAGCAGUGAAACAUACAGAGGAUUUUAUGGGGAGUUCUAUUCACACGGCAGACACUCUACACUAUAUGAGGUAGGCAAGUUGGCAAGUCCUGGAUAUCCCUUACAAUAUUUGAAUAAUCAGGAAUUUACAUGGAAUCUAUCAGCACGUCCUGAUACACGUCUCAUUUUAAAUCUAUCGUUUGUGGAAACAGAGUCUUGUGACAUAGACUAUAUCACCGUGUACGACGGAGCUACUAAAAAUGCUCCAAGUUCUAAGAAAGUCUGUGGUAGGGGAGUCUCAGAUGUGAUUGUAUCGACAACAAACAACCUUUUUGUCACCUUUAAAACAGAU